AUUGAACGCUGGCGGCAGGCCUAACACAUGCAAGUCGGGCGGUAGAGAGAGGCUUGCUUCUCUUGAGAGCGGCGGACGGGUGAGUAAUGCCUAGGAAUCUGCCUGGUAGUGGGGGAUAACGUUCGGAAACGGACGCUAAUACCGCAUACGUCCUACGGGAGAAAGCAGGGGACCUUCGGGCCUUGCGCUAUCAGAUGAGCCUAGGUCGGAUUAGCUAGUUGGUGAGGUAAUGGCUCACCAAGGCGACGAUCCGUAACUGGUCUGAGAGGAUGAUCAGUCACACUGGAACUGAGACACGGUCCAGACUCCUACGGGAGGCAGCAGUGGGGAAUAUUGGACAAUGGGCGAAAGCCUGAUCCAGCCAUGCCGCGUGUGUGAAGAAGGUCUUCGGAUUGUAAAGCACUUUAAGUUGGGAGGAAGGGUUGUAGAUUAAUACUCUGCAAUUUUGACGUUACCGACAGAAUAAGCACCGGCUAACUCUGUGCCAGCAGCCGCGGUAAUACAGAGGGUGCAAGCGUUAAUCGGAAUUACUGGGCGUAAAGCGCGCGUAGGUGGUUUGUUAAGUUGGAUGUGAAAUCCCCGGGCUCAACCUGGGAACUGCAUUCAAAACUGACUGACUAGAGUAUGGUAGAGGGUGGUGGAAUUUCCUGUGUAGCGGUGAAAUGCGUAGAUAUAGGAAGGAACACCAGUGGCGAAGGCGACCACCUGGACUAAUACUGACACUGAGGUGCGAAAGCGUGGGGAGCAAACAGG
This 753-nucleotide ribosomal RNA is filed under the name uncultured Pseudomonas sp. RNAcentral describes it as "bacterial SSU rRNA". It matches the Rfam family "Bacterial small subunit ribosomal RNA", at positions 28 to 776 of the family's 1533-position model. Lineage: Bacteria; Pseudomonadati; Pseudomonadota; Gammaproteobacteria; Pseudomonadales; Pseudomonadaceae. The record is from RNAcentral.